AGAGUUUGAUCCUGGCUCAGAUUGAACGCUGGCGGCAGGCCUAACACAUGCAAGUCGAGCGGAUGAGAGGUGCUUGCAUCUCGAUUCAGCGGCGGACGGGUGAGUAAUGCCUAGGAAUCUGCCUGGUAGUGGGGGACAACGUUUCGAAAGGAGCGCUAAUACCGCAUACGCCCUACGGGGGAAAGCGGGGGACCUUCGGGCCUCGCGCAGCAGGAUGAGCCGAUGCCGGAUUAGCUAGUUGGUGGGGUAAAGGCCCACCAAGGCGACGAUCCGUAGCUGGUCUGAGAGGAUGAUCAGCCACACUGGGACUGAGACACGGCCCAGACUCCUACGGGAGGCAGCAGUGGGGAAUAUUGGACAAUGGGGGCAACCCUGAUCCAGCCAUGCCGCGUGUGUGAAGAAGGCCUUCGGGUUGUAAAGCACUUUUGUACGGGAAGAAAUCGUUUGGGUUAAUACCCUGAGCGGAUGACGGUACCGUAAGAAUAAGCACCGGCUAACUUCGUGCCAGCAGCCGCGG
This 517-nucleotide ribosomal RNA is filed under the name uncultured bacterium. Its description in RNAcentral is "partial 16S ribosomal RNA". It matches the Rfam family "Bacterial small subunit ribosomal RNA", at positions 8 to 520 of the family's 1533-position model. The record is from RNAcentral.